RNAcentral lists this long non-coding RNA (454 nucleotides) under Capsicum annuum. RNAcentral's name for it is "long non-coding RNA (CANN_LNC020655)". Lineage: Eukaryota; Viridiplantae; Streptophyta; Magnoliopsida; Solanales; Solanaceae. The record is from RNAcentral.
CGACCUUUUCUUGUGACAAAAUUCUUGACUUCAUAGCUCUGAAUAAGGUUUCGUAAAGAAAUUUAAUGUGGUAAGCAUCAGCGUAAAUAGAAGAAAUAGAUGUGGUUCUUGAUCACACUCAAGAUGGAAGAUUUGCAGAAUACCUAUGCAGAAAGAAAAAGAAGAGUUCCCAGAAUUGGUUGUGAACUUCAAUCCACGACCUUAAACUCGUAAGUUUCAAAAUUCAGAUCUGCUACAAUGGUCAUUUAAAUGAUGUUACUUUUCAUCUCUCUAUAAAAUGGACUGGAAUGGCGCAAAGUUGUUUCUGAAUGGUUUCUUUUUUCUUUUGUUGUACAGGCGGGGUGGUAAUUUUGGGCAACAGAAGGUGGACAUGCGCACGGAAUGUAUUCCUCCGUCUCAAUUUAUGUAACAGCAUUUUCCUUUAAAAUCUGACCUCAAAAGAAUAUCAUAUAUU